UACGUAGGGUGCAAGCGUUGUCCGGAAUUAUUGGGCGUAAAAGAGCUCGUAGGUGGCGUGUCGCGUCUGCCGUGAAAGCCCAUGGCUUAACUGUGGGUCUGCGGUGGAUACGGGCAGGCUGGAGGCUGGUAGGGGCAAGCGGAAUUCCUGGUGUAGCGGUGAAAUGCGCAGAUAUACAGGAGGAACACCGGUGGCGAAGGCGGCUUGCUGGGCCAGUUCUGAGCGCUGAGGAGCGAAAGCGUGGGGAGCGAACAGGG
This 257-nucleotide ribosomal RNA is filed under the name uncultured bacterium. RNAcentral's name for it is "partial 16S ribosomal RNA". It matches the Rfam family "Bacterial small subunit ribosomal RNA", at positions 524 to 777 of the family's 1533-position model. The record is from RNAcentral.